RNAcentral lists this microRNA precursor (67 nucleotides) under Bombyx mori (domestic silkworm). RNAcentral's name for it is "mir-2774 microRNA precursor family". It matches the Rfam family "mir-2774 microRNA precursor family". The record is from Rfam by way of RNAcentral. Lineage: Eukaryota; Metazoa; Arthropoda; Insecta; Lepidoptera; Bombycidae.
ACAACAUUCGGACCGUCGGUCUGCCGAGUAAUAUCAGCCGCUUGUUGGAAGAUAUUCCCUUCGUUGU